Molecule: non-coding RNA, 25 nt
Filed under: Rattus norvegicus (Norway rat)
Lineage: Eukaryota; Metazoa; Chordata; Mammalia; Rodentia; Muridae
Source: RNAcentral
UAAUGCAUCGUAUACAUCAAGGGUA